UUAAACUUAAAUAUGGAAACGUUACAUCAUGAAAUAAAAAUCACUAAAGGAUUAUUAGCUGCAGAAGUUAAAGAGACACAUAAUUUUGAAAAUAUCCUUAAUAUUAUGUAUAAAAAAAUAUCAUCAUGCAUUUAAAGAAUUGUAUAAAUUCUACUCAACACAUCAUCUUUAGGGUACCAACGGUUUCUUGUGUGGUCUCUUUCUCUACAAUAAAGAGAGUUCUAUCUAGCACUGGAGGGUCGAUGAAAGAUCCACGCCCCCUCAUAUAAGUAGCUGGUCCCCCUAGCUGAAAAUUCCUGGCUACGGCCCUGUUAGACCGAAAAUGGACAGAUUUAAAUGAUAAAUGGGUUCCAUGUCUAUUCGGCGAAACACUUUUUAGCGAAACUUUAUCGCGAAACAUAAAUCACGAAGACAAUAUAGCGAAAACUAUUUAGCGAAAUAUAACGCGGCC
This is a long non-coding RNA of Gordionus sp. m RMFG-2023, 451 nucleotides long. RefSeq lists it as uncharacterized. Lineage: Eukaryota; Metazoa; Nematomorpha; Gordioida; Chordodea; Parachordodidae. The record is from RefSeq and is a predicted model, not a curated record. The transcript is spliced from 3 exons.